GACGAACGCUGGCGGCGUGCUUAACACAUGCAAGUCGAACGGAGAGGCCCUUCGGGGUCCUCGAGUGGCGAACGGGUGAGUAACACGUGGGUGAUCUGCCCUGCACUUUGGGAUAAGCCUGGGAAACUGGGUCUAAUACCGAAUAGGACCACGCGCUUCAUGGUGUGUGGUGGCAAGCUUUUGCGGUGUGGGAUGGGCCCGCGGCCUAUCAGCUUGUUGGUGGGGUAAUGGCCUACCAAGGCGACGACGGGUAGCCGGCCUGAGAGGGUGACCGGCCACACUGGGACUGAGAUACGGCCCAGACUCCUACGGGAGGCAGCAGUGGGGAAUAUUGCACAAUGGGCGCAAGCCUGAUGCAGCGACGCCGCGUGAGGGAUGACGGCCUUCGGGUUGUAAACCUCUUUCACCAGGGACGAAGCGUAAGUGACGGUACCUGGAGAAGAAGCACCGGCCAACUACGUG
This 462-nucleotide ribosomal RNA is filed under the name uncultured bacterium. RNAcentral describes it as "partial 16S ribosomal RNA". It matches the Rfam family "Bacterial small subunit ribosomal RNA", at positions 28 to 507 of the family's 1533-position model. The record is from RNAcentral.